Molecule: long non-coding RNA, 1302 nt
Organism: Gorilla gorilla gorilla (western lowland gorilla)
Lineage: Eukaryota; Metazoa; Chordata; Mammalia; Primates; Hominidae
Exons: 6
Source: RefSeq, a predicted model, not a curated record
GGGAGCCAACUCCUUCCCCGUCUGCCAUUUUGUACUCUUGGCCUAACGUUGACUCAAAACAGCAACUUGGAGCCUUCCCUGACCUGUUGGUAAAAUAUGACUUUGUUUUAUUAUUAAAAAAAUAGAAAGUAGAAAAUUAAAUUCAUUAGCUCCAAUUACUAAAUGAUUCAUCUGGCUGGCUAAUGAAGCUGAGCAUUAUGCUAACAAGAUAAAGGCAAGAAUAACAUGUGGGGAUGUGCGGCUGCAGGCACGCUGGGCCUGUUCUACUGGAAACGCAAGGCUGAGGAGCUCUGUGCCUUGAGAUGGAUGGCAAGAUACAAAAUCAAAAAGGUGUUUUAAUCCUGAGGAAGAAUGUGAGUCUGGGAAAGUUUUGGAUCACCGAGGUGCAGCCAUACCUUCCACAGCCAUCACUGUUGCUUACAACUCACAUGCCAAGAAUUGCAAGAAGAAGAUGGUGAUCAGGAGGCAUGACUUGUAACUACUUGGUUAGUGUAAAGCAGAGAGGAGAAUUAGGAGAGGCAGAUGGCAGAGAGGUCUGCCAUGGAAGAUUCAUGGAUGACAGGAGAGGCUGUGUUCCAGAAUGCAAGGAAGAAGAGCCCAAGGACCGUAGCAAGGCCCUGAUUCUGGGAGACAAGAGAACACGCUGACUUAGAAUGCUUGUCUCUGCAUCCUGGUCAGAAAGUAGAUGGACGACCCUUUCAUGUCCAACUGGAUUUUGGUGAGAGAUGGGCAAACCCCGGGCUCUAGGCUGGAGCAGCAGCUCUUGUAUCCACACAAAAUCAGGACUGGUGGAGGGAGCCAUCUUCAAACAUAAAUUUGGUGAGUUUAACAAUCAGAGAUUUGAAAAACACAGAAGUGAACAUUUCUGAUCAACGACGCUGCUGAUCUGAUGCAUCAUAACAGAAACCAGUCAUCAAGCGUCUUUUGGCAAUGCACUCCUUGGGUUUGGAAGCUUCCCUCCAAGAUGCUGAGCCCAAUGUUUGGGGAAAGCCAGGGAAACAGAUGCUGGGUCAGUGCUGCUCCCACCUCCUCUGCUCCCCUCCUGAGGGCUCCACUGAGUCACCAGCCAGCAAACAGCCCAUGCGCCCUGGAGCAGAUGGACUGUGGGUACACGAGCCUCUGAACUCUUGGGCAGCAUGGGCACCACAUCCUUUUGGCCUCACCCAAUGACCUGGCUAAGGAAGCCUUGCCUUUAUCAUCAUCUCACUACCAUAAUCACCAUCAUUAUCAUCACCAUCAUCAUCACCAUUAUCACCACCACUAUCAUCAUUAUCACCAUCAUCAUCACCAUCAUCAUCAUCA